UACGAACCGUCCAAACGUUAUUCGGAUUUAUUGGGCUUAAAGGGUAUGUAGGCGGCGCUGUCAGUCGGGUGUGAAAGCCCUCGGCUCAACCGAGGAACUGCGCCCGAUACUGCAGUGCUUGAGGGAGACAGAGGUAAGCGGAACUGAUGGUGGAGCGGUGAAAUGCGUUGAUAUCAUCAGGAACACCAGUGGCGAAAGCGGCUUACUGGGUCUCUUCUGACGCUGAGAUACGAAAGCUAGGGGAGCGAACGGG
RNAcentral lists this ribosomal RNA (253 nucleotides) under uncultured bacterium. RNAcentral describes it as "partial 16S ribosomal RNA". It matches the Rfam family "Bacterial small subunit ribosomal RNA", at positions 524 to 776 of the family's 1533-position model. The record is from RNAcentral.